RNAcentral lists this ribosomal RNA (461 nucleotides) under uncultured Acholeplasma sp. RNAcentral describes it as "bacterial SSU rRNA". It matches the Rfam family "Bacterial small subunit ribosomal RNA", at positions 914 to 1382 of the family's 1533-position model. Lineage: Bacteria; Bacillati; Mycoplasmatota; Mollicutes; Acholeplasmatales; Acholeplasmataceae. The record is from RNAcentral.
CGGGACCCCGCACAAGCGGUGGAUCAUGUUGUUUAAUUCGAUGAUACGCGAAGAACCUUACCAGGUCUUGACAUCCCAUGCAAAGCUAUAGAGAUAUAGUGGAGGUUAUCAAGGAGACAGGUGGUGCAUGGUUGUCGUCAGCUCGUGUCGUGAGAUGUUGGGUUAAGUCCCGCAGCGAGCGCAACCCUUAUUGCUAGUUACCAUCAUUAAGUUGGGGACUCUAGCGAGACUGCCAGUGAUAAACUGGAGAAGUGGGGAUGACGUCAAAUCAUCAUGCCCCUUAUGACCUGGGCUACAAACGUGAUACAAUGGCUGAAACAAAGGGCAGCGAAGCAGUGAUGUGGAGCGAAACCCAAAAAAGCAGUCUCAGUUCGGAUUGAAGUCUGCAACUCGACUUCAUGAAGUUGGAAUCGCUAGUAAUCGUAGAUCAGAACGCUACGGUGAAUACGUUCUCGGGGUUU